Molecule: ribosomal RNA, 2230 nt
Filed under: Salmonella enterica
Lineage: Bacteria; Pseudomonadati; Pseudomonadota; Gammaproteobacteria; Enterobacterales; Enterobacteriaceae
Description: partial 23S ribosomal RNA
Rfam family: Bacterial large subunit ribosomal RNA
Source: RNAcentral
AGACCCGAAACCCGGUGAUCUAGCCAUGGGCAGGUUGAAGGUUGGGUAACACUAACUGGAGGACCGAACCGACUAAUGUUGAAAAAUUAGCGGAUGACCUGUGGCUGGGGGUGAAAGGCCAAUCAAACCGGGAGAUAGCUGGUUCUCCCCGAAAGCUAUUUAGGUAGCGCCUCGUGAAUUCAUCUCCGGGGGUAGAGCACUGUUUCGGCUAGGGGGCCAUCCCGGCUUACCAACCCGAUGCAAACUGCGAAUACCGGAGAAUGUUAUCACGGGAGACACACGGCGGGUGCUAACGUCCGUCGUGAAGAGGGAAACAACCCAGACCGCCAGCUAAGGUCCCAAAGUCAUGGUUAAGUGGGAAACGAUGUGGGAAGGCCCAGACAGCCAGGAUGUUGGCUUAGAAGCAGCCAUCAUUUAAAGAAAGCGUAAUAGCUCACUGGUCGAGUCGGCCUGCGCGGAAGAUGUAACGGGGCUAAACCAUGCACCGAAGCUGCGGCAGCGACACUCAGGUGUUGUUGGGUAGGGGAGCGUUCUGUAAGCCUGUGAAGGUGUGUCGUGAGGCAUGCUGGAGGUAUCAGAAGUGCGAAUGCUGACAUAAGUAACGAUAAAGCGGGUGAAAAGCCCGCUCGCCGGAAGACCAAGGGUUCCUGUCCAACGUUAAUCGGGGCAGGGUGAGUCGACCCCUAAGGCGAGGCCGAAAGGCGUAGUCGAUGGGAAACGGGUUAAUAUUCCCGUACUUGGUGUUACUGCGAAGGGGGGACGGAGAAGGCUAUGUUGGCCGGGCGACGGUUGUCCCGGUUUAAGCGUGUAGGUGUGUGUUCCAGGUAAAUCCGGUUCACUUUAACACUGAGGCGUGACGACGAGGCACUACGGUGCUGAAGCAACAAAUGCCCUGCUUCCAGGAAAAGCCUCUAAGCAUCAGGUAACAUCAAAUCGUACCCCAAACCGACACAGGUGGUCAGGUAGAGAAUACCAAGGCGCUUGAGAGAACUCGGGUGAAGGAACUAGGCAAAAUGGUGCCGUAACUUCGGGAGAAGGCACGCUGACACGUAGGUGAAGUGAUUUACUCAUGGAGCUGAAGUCAGUCGAAGAUACCAGCUGGCUGCAACUGUUUAUUAAAAACACAGCACUGUGCAAACACGAAAGUGGACGUAUACGGUGUGACGCCUGCCCGGUGCCGGAAGGUUAAUUGAUGGGGUCAGCGCAAGCGAAGCUCCUGAUCGAAGCCCCGGUAAACGGCGGCCGUAACUAUAACGGUCCUAAGGUAGCGAAAUUCCUUGUCGGGUAAGUUCCGACCUGCACGAAUGGCGUAAUGAUGGCCAGGCUGUCUCCACCCGAGACUCAGUGAAAUUGAACUCGCUGUGAAGAUGCAGUGUACCCGCGGCAAGACGGAAAGACCCCGUGAACCUUUACUAUAGCUUGACACUGAACAUUGAGCCUUGAUGUGUAGGAUAGGUGGGAGGCUUUGAAGCGUGGACGCCAGUCUGCGUGGAGCCGACCUUGAAAUACCACCCUUUAAUGUUUGAUGUUCUAACGUGGACCCGUUACCCGGGUUGCGGACAGUGUCUGGUGGGUAGUUUGACUGGGGCGGUCUCCUCCUAAAGAGUAACGGAGGAGCACGAAGGUUGGCUAAUCCUGGUCGGACAUCAGGAGGUUAGUGCAAUGGCAUAAGCCAGCUUGACUGCGAGCGUGACGGCGCGAGCAGGUGCGAAAGCAGGUCAUAGUGAUCCGGUGGUUCUGAAUGGAAGGGCCAUCGCUCAACGGAUAAAAGGUACUCCGGGGAUAACAGGCUGAUACCGCCCAAGAGUUCAUAUCGACGGCGGUGUUUGGCACCUCGAUGUCGGCUCAUCACAUCCUGGGGCUGAAGUAGGUCCCAAGGGUAUGGCUGUUCGCCAUUUAAAGUGGUACGCGAGCUGGGUUUAGAACGUCGUGAGACAGUUCGGUCCCUAUCUGCCGUGGGCGCUGGAGAACUGAGGGGGGCUGCUCCUAGUACGAGAGGACCGGAGUGGACGCAUCACUGGUGUUCGGGUUGUCAUGCCAAUGGCACUGCCCGGUAGCUAAAUGCGGAAGAGAUAAGUGCUGAAAGCAUCUAAGCACGAAACUUGCCCCGAGAUGAGUUCUCCCUGAGACUUUAGGUCUCCUGAAGGAACGUUGAAGACGACGACGUUGAUAGGCCGGGUGUGUAAGCGCAGCGAUGCGUUGAGCUAACCGGUACUAAUGAACCGUGAGG